This 2772-nucleotide ribosomal RNA is filed under the name Escherichia coli. Its description in RNAcentral is "bacterial LSU rRNA". It matches the Rfam family "Bacterial large subunit ribosomal RNA". Lineage: Bacteria; Pseudomonadati; Pseudomonadota; Gammaproteobacteria; Enterobacterales; Enterobacteriaceae. The record is from RNAcentral.
AGCGUACACGGUGGAUGCCCUGGCAGUCAGAGGCGAUGAAGGACGUGCUAAUCUGCGAUAAGCGUCGGUAAGGUGAUAUGAACCGUUAUAACCGGCGAUUUCCGAAUGGGGAAACCCAGUGUGUUUCGACACACUAUCAUUAACUGAAUCCAUAGGUUAAUGAGGCGAACCGGGGGAACUGAAACAUCUAAGUACCCCGAGGAAAAGAAAUCAACCGAGAUUCCCCCAGUAGCGGCGAGCGAACGGGGAGGAGCCCAGAGCCUGAAUCAGUGUGUGUGUUAGUGGAAGCGUCUGGAAAGGCGCGCGAUACAGGGUGACAGCCCCGUACACAAAAAUGCACAUAUUGUGAGCUCGAUGAGUAGGGCGGGACACGUGGUAUCCUGUCUGAAUAUGGGGGGACCAUCCUCCAAGGCUAAAUACUCCUGACUGACCGAUAGUGAACCAGUACCGUGAGGGAAAGGCGAAAAGAACCCCGGCGAGGGGAGUGAAAAAGAACCUGAAACCGUGUACGUACAAGCAGUGGGAGCCUCUUUUAUGGGGUGACUGCGUACCUUUUGUAUAAUGGGUCAGCGACUUAUAUUCUGUAGCAAGGUUAACCGAAUAGGGGAGCCGAAGGGAAACCGAGUCUUAACUGGGCGUUAAGUUGCAGGGUAUAGACCCGAAACCCGGUGAUCUAGCCAUGGGCAGGUUGAAGGUUGGGUAACACUAACUGGAGGACCGAACCGACUAAUGUUGAAAAAUUAGCGGAUGACUUGUGGCUGGGGGUGAAAGGCCAAUCAAACCGGGAGAUAGCUGGUUCUCCCCGAAAGCUAUUUAGGUAGCGCCUCGUGAAUUCAUCUCCGGGGGUAGAGCACUGUUUCGGCAAGGGGGUCAUCCCGACUUACCAACCCGAUGCAAACUGCGAAUACCGGAGAAUGUUAUCACGGGAGACACACGGCGGGUGCUAACGUCCGUCGUGAAGAGGGAAACAACCCAGACCGCCAGCUAAGGUCCCAAAGUCAUGGUUAAGUGGGAAACGAUGUGGGAAGGCCCAGACAGCCAGGAUGUUGGCUUAGAAGCAGCCAUCAUUUAAAGAAAGCGUAAUAGCUCACUGGUCGAGUCGGCCUGCGCGGAAGAUGUAACGGGGCUAAACCAUGCACCGAAGCUGCGGCAGCGACACUAUGUGUUGUUGGGUAGGGGAGCGUUCUGUAAGCCUGUGAAGGUGUACUGUGAGGUAUGCUGGAGGUAUCAGAAGUGCGAAUGCUGACAUAAGUAACGAUAAAGCGGGUGAAAAGCCCGCUCGCCGGAAGACCAAGGGUUCCUGUCCAACGUUAAUCGGGGCAGGGUGAGUCGACCCCUAAGGCGAGGCCGAAAGGCGUAGUCGAUGGGAAACAGGUUAAUAUUCCUGUACUUGGUGUUACUGCGAAGGGGGGACGGAGAAGGCUAUGUUGGCCGGGCGACGGUUGUCCCGGUUUAAGCGUGUAGGCUGGUUUUCCAGGCAAAUCCGGAAAAUCAAGGCUGAGGCGUGAUGACGAGGCACUACGGUGCUGAAGCAACAAAUGCCCUGCUUCCAGGAAAAGCCUCUAAGCAUCAGGUAACAUCAAAUCGUACCCCAAACCGACACAGGUGGUCAGGUAGAGAAUACCAAGGCGCUUGAGAGAACUCGGGUGAAGGAACUAGGCAAAAUGGUGCCGUAACUUCGGGAGAAGGCACGCUGAUAUGUAGGUGAAGUCCCUCGCGGAUGGAGCUGAAAUCAGUCGAAGAUACCAGCUGGCUGCAACUGUUUAUUAAAAACACAGCACUGUGCAAACACGAAAGUGGACGUAUACGGUGUGACGCCUGCCCGGUGCCGGAAGGUUAAUUGAUGGGGUCAGCGCAAGCGAAGCUCUUGAUCGAAGCCCCGGUAAACGGCGGCCGUAACUAUAACGGUCCUAAGGUAGCGAAAUUCCUUGUCGGGUAAGUUCCGACCUGCACGAAUGGCGUAAUGAUGGCCAGGCUGUCUCCACCCGAGACUCAGUGAAAUUGAACUCGCUGUGAAGAUGCAGUGUACCCGCGGCAAGACGGAAAGACCCCGUGAACCUUUACUAUAGCUUGACACUGAACAUUGAGCCUUGAUGUGUAGGAUAGGUGGGAGGCUUAGAAGUGUGGACGCCAGUCUGCAUGGAGCCGACCUUGAAAUACCACCCUUUAAUGUUUGAUGUUCUAACGUUGACCCGUGAUCCGGGUUGCGGACAGUGUCUGGUGGGUAGUUUGACUGGGGCGGUCUCCUCCUAAAGAGUAACGGAGGAGCACGAAGGUUGGCUAAUCCUGGUCGGACAUCAGGAGGUUAGUGCAAUGGCAUAAGCCAGCUUGACUGCGAGCGUGACGGCGCGAGCAGGUGCGAAAGCAGGUCAUAGUGAUCCGGUGGUUCUGAAUGGAAGGGCCAUCGCUCAACGGAUAAAAGGUACUCCGGGGAUAACAGGCUGAUACCGCCCAAGAGUUCAUAUCGACGGCGGUGUUUGGCACCUCGAUGUCGGCUCAUCACAUCCUGGGGCUGAAGUAGGUCCCAAGGGUAUGGCUGUUCGCCAUUUAAAGUGGUACGCGAGCUGGGUUUAGAACGUCGUGAGACAGUUCGGUCCCUAUCUGCCGUGGGCGCUGGAGAACUGAGGGGGGCUGCUCCUAGUACGAGAGGACCGGAGUGGACGCAUCACUGGUGUUCGGGUUGUCAUGCCAAUGGCACUGCCCGGUAGCUAAAUGCGGAAGAGAUAAGUGCUGAAAGCAUCUAAGCACGAAACUUGCCCCGAGAUGAGUUCU